RNAcentral lists this ribosomal RNA (775 nucleotides) under uncultured Neocallimastigales. Its description in RNAcentral is "partial large subunit ribosomal RNA". It matches the Rfam family "Eukaryotic large subunit ribosomal RNA", at positions 23 to 616 of the family's 3401-position model. Lineage: Eukaryota; Fungi; Neocallimastigomycota; Neocallimastigomycetes; Neocallimastigales. The record is from RNAcentral.
GAGAGAGACAUGCGCGCAUAUCAAUAAGCGGAGGAAAAGAAACUAACAAGGAUUCCCCUAGUAACGGCGAGUGAAGCGGGAAGAGCUCAAAUUUGAAAUCUUAAAGGGUUUCCCUUUACGAAUUGUAGUUUAAAGAAGUGUUUUCUGUUGAGGUUUUGGUAAAAAGUUCUUUGGAAUAGGACAUCAUAGAGGGUGAGAAUCCCGUAUUUGACCUUUACUUUCAUCUUUGUGAUACACUUUCAAAGAGUCGGAUUGUUUGGGAAUGCAGUCCAAAAUGGGUGGUAAAUCUCAUCUAAAGCUAAAUAUUGGCGAGAGACCGAUAGCGAACAAGUACCGUGAGGGAAAGAUGAAAAGAACUUUGAAAAGAGAGUUAAACAGUACGUGAAAUUGUCAAAAGGGAAGCGUUUGACACCAGUGUUGUUUUUCUGAAGAUCAAUUAAAGAACUGUUUAUGCUAAGUUGUUUAGACUUUAUCAGCUAACUGUUUAGUUUUGAGCUUUUCUUUAAUGCACUUUUCAGUUAACAAGUCAACAUCAAUUUCUUUUGCUGUAAAAAAGCUUGAGGAAGGUGGCUUGAGAUUCGUCUUAAGUGUUUAUAGCCUCUUGCCUAUGCAGUCGGAGAGAUUGAGGUCUGCAGCGUAGAUCCCUUCGGGGCUAAAUGCAUUUGUGCUAAGUUAUAGCAUUUUAUAGACAACUUGUUGACUAUGAUUUGUCUUGUAGCUUACUCGCUUAUGUUAUUUUACCUACGCUUAGGAUGUUGAGCGCAUGUCUCUCUCU